Molecule: ribosomal RNA, 460 nt
Filed under: uncultured bacterium
Lineage: Bacteria
Description: partial 16S ribosomal RNA
Rfam family: Bacterial small subunit ribosomal RNA
Source: RNAcentral
ACUACGGGCGGCAGCAGUGAGGAAUAUUGGUCAAUGGGCGGAAGCCUGAACCAGCCAAGUAGCGUGCAGGAUGACGGCCCUACGGGUUGUAAACUGCUUUUAUACGGGAAUAACGCGCCUUACGUGUAGGGCUUUGCAUGUACCGUAUGAAUAAGGACCGGCUAAUUCCGUGCCAGCAGCCGCGGUAAUACGGAAGGUCCGGGCGUUAUCCGGAUUUAUUGGGUUUAAAGGGAGCGUAGGCCGCAUGUCAAGCGUGCUGUGAAAUGUCCGGGCUCAACCCGGGCCUUGCAGCGCGAACUGGCGUGCUUGAGUCCGCGGAAAGCAGGCGGAAUUCGUCGUGUAGCGGUGAAAUGCUUAGAUAUGACGAAGAACCCCGAGUGCGAAGGCAGCUUGCUGCAGCGGAACUGACGCUGAUGCUCGAAAGCGCGGGUAUCGAACAGGAUUAGAUACCCGAGUAGUC